UUGUCAAAUCCUAGAAUCCAUUGCCAUGAUAGUGCUGAGAUUCAUGGGGUGCAUGUACUCAUUAGACCCUGUCAUUAUUUUGUCAGGUCUGGAAUCCAUUGCCA
Molecule: long non-coding RNA, 104 nt
Organism: Hibiscus syriacus
Lineage: Eukaryota; Viridiplantae; Streptophyta; Magnoliopsida; Malvales; Malvaceae
Exons: 3
Source: RefSeq, a predicted model, not a curated record